UGGCUCAGGACGAACGCUGGCGGCGUGCUUAACACAUGCAAGUUGAACGGGACGGAUAUUGAAGCGACUUUCGGAGUGGUGGAUAUAUUGUUUAGUAGCGGACGGGUGAGUAAUGCAUGAGAACCUGCCCUUCAGAGGGGGACAACAGUUGGAAACGGCUGCUAAUACCCCAAAUGCCGAGAGGUGAAAGGAGCGAUCCGCUGAAGGAGAGGCUCAUGUCCUAUCAGCUAGUUGGUGAGGUAAGUGCUCACCAAGGCGAUGACGGGUAGCCGGCCUGAGAGGGCGACCGGCCACACUGGAACUGAGAUACGGUCCAGACUCCUACGGGAGACAGCAGUGGGGAAUAUUGGGCAAUGGGGCGGAAGCCUGACCCAGCGACGCCGCGUGAGGGAAGAAGGCCUUUGGGUCGUAAACCUCUGUUGUAUGGGAAGAAGGAAGUGACGGUACCAUACGAGGAAGUCCCGGCUAACUACGUGCCAGCCGCGGC
This 487-nucleotide ribosomal RNA is filed under the name uncultured bacterium. Its description in RNAcentral is "bacterial SSU rRNA". It matches the Rfam family "Bacterial small subunit ribosomal RNA", at positions 20 to 518 of the family's 1533-position model. The record is from RNAcentral.